CGAUUUUGACUUUUACCGUUCAGGAGUUAUGGUUCUUGAAAGAUUGAAAAAUGGUGUUUCCAGUCGUGUCCGUGCAUUUUCUCAUGAACCAUUCAACCAAAGCUUUUGAAAUUUUUAUAUGUUGUUACUGAUGGCAAAUUAAAAGUCAAGUUCAAUUAUGACGAUUUUGACUUUUACUGUUCAGGAGUUAUGGUUCUUGAAAGAUUGUGAAAUGGCGUUUCCAUUCACGUUGUUGCAUUUACUCAUGAACCAUUCAAUCUAAGCUUUUCAAAUUUUAAGAUGUUGAUACUGAUGACAAAAUGGAGGUCAAAUUUGAUAUUGACGAUUUUCACUUUCACCAUUCAUCAGUAAUGGUUCUUGUGAUAUUGCCAGGACACAAAUAAAUAUUAACAAAUCCGGUUUGCUGUCGUUGUGACAGCCUCUUGUUAUAAUUCGUUCAAGGGGAGAUAAUUAUGGGACUGUAAUAAAGUAUCAUUCAUCCAAGGGGAGAUAAUUAUGUGAUCAUACUAUAAAGUAAGAGCCAUAUCAAUGAAACUAUUUUCCUUAAUUUCUAAACUGUUUCGUUGACAUGUAAAACAAUUUCAAACUUCAUAACAUGUUGAAAUUGGUUGGUUAAGGAAAUAGUUGAGAUGUACAAAUCAUGGCUUUAUUUAACAUUAUUCAUUCAAGGGUAGAUAAUUAUGUGAUCAUAAUAUAAAGAUUUAAAUCAAUGAAACUGUUUUCUUAAAUUUCUAAACUUUUUUGUUGGACAGGUAAAGUAAUUUCAAACUUUGUAACAUGUUGAAAUUGGCUGGUCAAGAAAGUGGUUGAGCUGUACAAAUGAUGGCUUUAUUCAACAUCAAUCAUGUGAUAAUUUAUGAAAAUAAAUAAGCGUGGAAUUUAGAAUUAAAAAAAUAAUCAUAAGCAACAAAACAAGAUAUUUAUUCCUGAAUCAGUGUUGUUUGUUCAUGAGUUUAAUUUUCUUUUAAAUUUGAAUUUGACCAUGGACUUUUUAAUAGAAAUGAAACAGAAAAUGCAAAGAACUUUGUCUUUUUCUAUGAAUUCUCAAUUUGUUUUGGUGCAAUGUUACUCAGAAUGUCUUGAC
This 1084-nucleotide long non-coding RNA is filed under the name Mytilus galloprovincialis (Mediterranean mussel). Lineage: Eukaryota; Metazoa; Mollusca; Bivalvia; Mytilida; Mytilidae. The record is from RNAcentral.